AUUGAACGCUGGCGGCAAGCCUAACACAUGCAAGUCGGACGAGUGGCAGACGGGUGAGUAAUGUCUGGGAAACUGCCUGAUGGAGGGGGGUAACUACUGGAAACGGUAGCUAAUACCGCAUACCAUCGGAUGUGCCCAGAUGGGAUUAGCUAGUAGGUGGGGUAAAGGCUCACCUAGGCGACGAUCCCUAGCUGGUCUGAGAGGAUGACCAGCCACACUGGAACUGAGACACGGGCCAGACUCCUACGGACGGCAGCAGUGGGGAAUAUUGCACAAUGGGCGAAAGCCUGAUGCAGCCAGGCGGUGUGUAUGAAGAAGGCCUUCGGGUUGUAAAGUACUUUCAGCGGGGAGGCGUUACCCGCAGAAGAAGCACCGGCUAACUCCGGGCCAGCAGCCGCGGUAAUAC
This 406-nucleotide ribosomal RNA is filed under the name uncultured bacterium. RNAcentral describes it as "partial 16S ribosomal RNA". It matches the Rfam family "Bacterial small subunit ribosomal RNA", at positions 30 to 526 of the family's 1533-position model. The record is from RNAcentral.